Molecule: ribosomal RNA, 494 nt
Filed under: uncultured bacterium
Lineage: Bacteria
Description: partial 16S ribosomal RNA
Rfam family: Bacterial small subunit ribosomal RNA
Source: RNAcentral
GACGAACGCUGGCGGCGUGCUUAACACAUGCAAGUCGAACGGAAAGGCCUGCUUUCCCUUGUGGAUUGCGGGUACUCGGGUGGCGAACGGGUGAGUAACACGUGAGUGAUCUGCCCCCAACUUGGGUAUAAGCCUGGGAAACUGGGUCUAAUUCCCGAUAGGACUGCAGGGUGGUGCCUGUGGUGGAAAACGAUUUUCUAGUGGUUGGGGAUGAGCUCGCGGCCUAUCAGCUUGUUGGUGGGGUAAUGGCCUGCCAAGGCGGCGACGGGUAGCCGGCCUGAGAGGGUGGACGGCCACAUUGGGACUGAGAUACGGCCCAGACUCCUACGGGAGGCAGCAGUGGGGAAUAUUGCACAAUGGGCGGAAGCCUGAUGCAGCGACGCCGCGUGGGGGAUGACGGCCUUCGGGUUGUAAACUCCUUUCGACCGCGAGGAAGCCACCUGGUUGGAAGGGUGGUGACGGUAGUGGUAGAAGAAGCACCGGCUAACUACGUG